GCCUCCUGCUAAAUCAAUGUAUAGGAGGUCUUGCCUGCCCAGUGACAAGUUAAACGGCCGCGGUAUUUUGACCGUGCAAAGGUAGCGCAAUCACUUGUCUUUUAAAUGAAGACCUGUAUGAAUGGUAGAACGAGGGCUUAACUGUCUCCCCUUUCAGGUCAAUGAAAUUGAUCUAUCCGUGCAGAAGCGGACAUACAAAUACAAGACGAGAAGACCCUUUGGAGCUUAAGACACAAGGCCAACUAUGUUAAUAUAUUAAAAAUAAAACUAAACUAAAUAGAAUCUGGCCCCAGUCUUCGGUUGGGGCGACCACGGAAGAAAAUAAAGCUUCCAUGCGGACUGGGGCCUAAGGCCCUAAAACUAAGAAAAACAUUUCUAAGCAGCAGAACAUCUGACCCAUGAGAUCCGGCAACUCUGCCGACAAACGGACCAAGUUACCCUAGGGAUAACAGCGCAAUCCCCUUUAAGAGUCCAUAUCGACAAGGGGGUUUACGACCUCGAUGUUGGAUCAGGACAUCCUAAUGGUGCAGCCGCUAUUAAGGGUUCGUUUGUUCAACGAUUAAAGUCCU
This 569-nucleotide ribosomal RNA is filed under the name Trachelyichthys sp. ANSP 197702. RNAcentral describes it as "partial 16S ribosomal RNA". It matches the Rfam family "Bacterial large subunit ribosomal RNA", at positions 1818 to 2597 of the family's 2925-position model. The record is from RNAcentral. Lineage: Eukaryota; Metazoa; Chordata; Actinopteri; Siluriformes; Auchenipteridae.